This is a long non-coding RNA of Passer montanus (Eurasian tree sparrow), 372 nucleotides long. RefSeq lists it as uncharacterized. NCBI's taxonomy places the organism in Eukaryota, Metazoa, Chordata, Aves, Passeriformes, Passeridae. The record is from RefSeq and is a predicted model, not a curated record. The transcript has 4 exons.
CCAAACUGCAGUGGAAGACAGCUAAUAUCUUCCAGGAUUUUCCAUGAUUAAGAAACUGUCUGAAAGAGACUGGAGAGCACACACCCUGAGCAAAACUGAGAUUCAGAAGUGAGAUCCAGCUAUCAGUGUACGGGGCAGCUUUGAUGAAUUUUCCAAGGGCAUGGCCAGAUACUCUCCUACAGAGAAGCAGCAGGCUUUCAUGGCAAGCCAGAAGGAGCUGCUUUCCUUGCCAUUAAUGCCACCUGGAGAUUGAAAACCCUAGGAGGAGCUUCAUGUCCAUCCAUCAAAGGCAACACAAAGAGAGAGACUUCAGGAGGUCAGAUGUUGAAAAACCAUGAAAAGCUCACAUUUCCCUGGAGUGCUCUGAGUUCU